GAUGAACGCUAGCUACAGGCUUAACACAUGCAAGUCGAGGGGCAGCGGUAUCGAAAGCUUGCUUUCGGUAGCCGGCGACCGGCGCACGGGUGAGUAACGCGUAUCGAACCUGCCUCAUACUCGGGAAUAGCCUUGCGAAAGUAAGAUUAAUGCCCGGUGUUUUCAGAGUCCCGCAUGAGGCUUUGAACAAAGAUUUAUCGGUAUGAGAUGGCGAUGCGUCCCAUUAGCUUGUUGGCGGGGUAACGGCCCACCAAGGCAUCGAUGGGUAGGGGUUCUGAGAGGAAGGGCCCCCACAUGGGAACCGGGACACGGUCCAAACACCUACGGGAGGCAGCAGUGAGGAAGAUUGGUCAAUGGGCGGAAGCCUGAACCAGCCAAGUAGCGUGCAGGAAGACGGCCCUCCGGGUUGUAAACUGCUUUUAGUUGGGAAUAAAACGGGGCUCGUGAGCCCCCUUGCAUGUACCAUCAGAAAAAGGACCGGCUAAUUCCGUG
RNAcentral lists this ribosomal RNA (492 nucleotides) under uncultured bacterium. RNAcentral describes it as "partial 16S ribosomal RNA". It matches the Rfam family "Bacterial small subunit ribosomal RNA", at positions 28 to 507 of the family's 1533-position model. The record is from RNAcentral.